GACGAACGCUGGCGGCGUGCUUAACACAUGCAAGUCGAACGGUAAGGCCCUUCGGGGUACACGAGUGGCGAACGGGUGAGUAACACGUGGGUGAUCUGCCCUGCACUUCGGGAUAAGCCUGGGAAACUGGGCCUCAUACCGGGUAGGACCACUGCCUGCAGGGGUGGUGGUGGAAAGCUUUUGCGGUGUGGGAUGGGCCCGCGGCCUAUCAGCUGUUUGGGGGGGUGAUGGCCUACCAAGGCGACGACGGGUAGCCGGCCUGAGAGGGUGACCGGCCACACUGGGACUGAGAUACGGCCCAGACUCCUACGGGAGGCAGCAGUGGGGAAUAUUGCACAAUGGGCGCAAGCCUGAUGCAGCGACGCCGCGUGAGGGAUGACGGCCUUCGGGUUGUAAACCUCUUUCAGCACCGACGAAGCGCAAGUGACGGUAGGUGCAGAAGAAGGACCGGCCAACUACGUGCCAGCCGCCGCCGUAA
This 478-nucleotide ribosomal RNA is filed under the name uncultured bacterium. RNAcentral describes it as "partial 16S ribosomal RNA". It matches the Rfam family "Bacterial small subunit ribosomal RNA", at positions 28 to 523 of the family's 1533-position model. The record is from RNAcentral.